GGUUAAGUUAUAAAGGGCGCACGGCGGAUGCCUUGGCACUAGGAGCCGAUGAAGGACGGCACUAACACCGAUAUGCUUCGGGGAGCUGUAAGUAAGCUUUGAUCCGAAGAUUUCCGAAUGGGGGAACCCACUGUCCGUAAUGGGACAGUACAUCUACGUGAAUACAUAGCGUAUAUGUGGCAGACCCGGAGAACUGAAACAUCUAAGUAUCCGGAGGAAGAGAAAGAAAAUUCGAUUCCCUGAGUAGCGGCGAGCGAAACGGGAUUAGCCCAAACCAGGAAGCUUGCUUCCUGGGGUUGUAGGACACUCUAUACGGAGUUACAAAAGGUUGGAUUAGACGAAGCGAUCUGGAAAGAUCUGCCGCAGAGGGUAAAAGCCCCGUAGUCGAAAAUCCAUCCACUCCAGAGUGGAUCCUGAGUACGGCGGAACACGUGAAAUUCCGUCGGAAUCCGGGAGGACCAUCUCCCAAGGCUAAAUACUCCCUAGUGACCGAUAGUGAACCAGUACCGUGAGGGAAAGGUGAAAAGCACCCCGGAAGGGGAGUGAAAUAGAACCUGAAACCGUGUGCCUACAAGUUGUCAGAGCCCGUUAAUGGGUGAUGGCGUGCCUUUUGUAGAAUGAACCGGCGAGUUACGAUUCCAUGCAAGGUUAAGCAGUGAAUGCGGAGCCGCAGCGAAAGCGAGUCUGAAUAGG
RNAcentral lists this non-coding RNA (693 nucleotides) under Sporosarcina sp. HYO08. RNAcentral describes it as "Bacterial large subunit ribosomal RNA". It matches the Rfam family "Bacterial large subunit ribosomal RNA", at positions 1 to 691 of the family's 2925-position model. Lineage: Bacteria; Bacillati; Bacillota; Bacilli; Caryophanales; Caryophanaceae. The record is from Rfam by way of RNAcentral.